CGCACAUUGCGCCCAUUAGUAUUCUAGUGGGCAUGCCUGUUCGAGCGUCAUUUCAACCCUUAAGCCUAGCUUAGUGUUGGGAAUCUACGUAUGCACAGUUACUUGUAAUUGUGUUGUAGUUCCUGAAAUCAAACGGCGGAUUUGUAGUAUCCUCUGAGCGUAGUAAAUUCUUUUCUCGCUUUUGUUAGGUGCUGUAACUCUUGCCGCUAAACCCCCAAUUUUUAAUGGUUGACCUCGGAUCAGGUAGGAAUACCCGCUGAACUUAA
This 266-nucleotide unclassified non-coding RNA is filed under the name Castanediella acaciae. RNAcentral describes it as "partial contains 5.8S ribosomal RNA, internal transcribed spacer 2, and large subunit ribosomal RNA". The record is from RNAcentral. Lineage: Eukaryota; Fungi; Ascomycota; Sordariomycetes; Amphisphaeriales; Castanediellaceae.